RNAcentral lists this ribosomal RNA (568 nucleotides) under uncultured bacterium. Its description in RNAcentral is "partial 16S ribosomal RNA". It matches the Rfam family "Bacterial small subunit ribosomal RNA", at positions 355 to 1375 of the family's 1533-position model. The record is from RNAcentral.
UGGGGAAUAUUGCACAAUGGGCGCAAGCCUGAUGCAGCAACGCCGCGUGAGGGACGACGGCCUUCGGGUUGUAAACCUCUUUUAGUAGGGAAGAAGCGAAAGUGACGGUACCUGCAGAAAAAGCACCGGCUAACUACGUGCCAGCAGCCGCGGUAAUACGUAGGGUGCGAGCGUUGUCCGGAAUUAUUGGGCGUAAAGAGCUCGUAGGCGGUCUGUCGCGUCUGCUGUGAAAACCCGAGGCUCAACCUCGGGCCUGCAGUGGGUACGGGCAGACUAGAGUGCGGUAGGGGAGAAUGGAAUUCCUGGUGUAGCGGUGGAAUGCGCAGAUAUCAGGAGGAACACCGAUGGCGAAGGCAGUUCUCUGGGCCGUAACUGACGCUGAGGAGCGAAAGCGUGGGGAGCGAACAGGAUUAGAUACCCUGGUAGUCCACGCCGUAAACGUUGGGCGCUAGAUGUGGGGACCAUUCCACGGUUUCCGUGUCGCGGCUAACGCAUUAAGCGCCCCGCCUGGGGAGUACGGCCGCAAGGCUAAAACUCAAAUGAAUUGACGGGGUCAUAGCUGUUUCCU